RNAcentral lists this transfer RNA (71 nucleotides) under Loxodonta africana (African savanna elephant). It matches the Rfam family "tRNA". From Rfam's summary of the family: Transfer RNA (tRNA) molecules are approximately 80 nucleotides in length. Their secondary structure includes four short double-helical elements and three loops (D, anti-codon, and T loops). Further hydrogen bonds mediate the characteristic L-shaped molecular structure. tRNAs have two regions of fundamental functional importance: the anti-codon, which is responsible for specific mRNA codon recognition, and the 3' end, to which the tRNAs corresponding amino acid is attached (by aminoacyl-tRNA synthetases). tRNAs cope with the degeneracy of the genetic code in two manners: having more than one tRNA (with a specific anti-codon) for a particular amino acid; and 'wobble' base-pairing, i.e. permitting non-standard base-pairing at the 3rd anti-codon position. The record is from Rfam by way of RNAcentral. Lineage: Eukaryota; Metazoa; Chordata; Mammalia; Proboscidea; Elephantidae.
GCAGUGGUGGUUCAGGGGUAGAAUUCUCGCUUUCCACGUGGGAGGCCUUGGUUCGAUUCCCAGCCGAUGCC